GAUGAAGAACGUAGCGAAAUGCGAUACGUAAUGUGAAUUGCAGAAUUCAGUGAAUCAUCGAGUCUUUGAACGCACAUUGCGCCCCCUGGUAUUCCGGGGGGCAUGCCUGUCCGAGCGUCAUUGCUGCCCUCAAGCACGGCUUGUGUGUUGGGCCUCCGUCCUCCUCCCGGGGGACGGGCCCGAAAGGCAGCGGCGGCACCGCGUCCGGUCCUCGAGCGUAUGGGGCUUUGUCACCCGCUCUUGUAGGCCCGGCCGGCGCUUGCCGACACAUCAAUCUUUUUUCCAGGUUGACCUCGGAUCAGGUAGGGAUACCCGCUGAACUUAAGCAUAUCAAUAAGCGAGGA
This 344-nucleotide unclassified non-coding RNA is filed under the name soil metagenome. RNAcentral describes it as "partial contains 5.8S ribosomal RNA, internal transcribed spacer 2, and large subunit ribosomal RNA". The stretch from base 1 to 120 matches the Rfam family "5.8S ribosomal RNA", at positions 35 to 154 of the family's 154-position model. The record is from RNAcentral.